GGGAGGUUGGCCGUGGACGGACCACUCGCCAACCGGGUCAGGUCCGGAAGGAAGCAGCCCUAACGAGCGCGGUUCGGGUCGCUCGUCAGCCUCCCGCC
This 98-nucleotide signal recognition particle RNA is filed under the name Alphaproteobacteria bacterium. RNAcentral describes it as "signal recognition particle sRNA small type". It matches the Rfam family "Bacterial small signal recognition particle RNA". Rfam says of the family: The signal recognition particle (SRP) is a universally conserved ribonucleoprotein involved in the co-translational targeting of proteins to membranes. Archaeal SRP consists of a 7S RNA and homologues of the eukaryotic SRP19 and SRP54 proteins. Lineage: Bacteria; Pseudomonadati; Pseudomonadota; Alphaproteobacteria. The record is from RNAcentral.